Trichechus manatus latirostris (Florida manatee) is the source of this 104-nucleotide small nuclear RNA. Lineage: Eukaryota; Metazoa; Chordata; Mammalia; Sirenia; Trichechidae. The record is from RefSeq and is a predicted model, not a curated record.
GUGCUCACUUCAGCAGCACAUAUACUAAAAUUAGAACAAUAUAGAGAUUAGCCUGGCCCCUGUGCAAGGAUAACAUGAAAAUUCAUGAAGUGGUCCGUAUUUUU